Molecule: long non-coding RNA, 5198 nt
Organism: Caretta caretta (loggerhead turtle)
Lineage: Eukaryota; Metazoa; Chordata; Testudines; Cheloniidae
Source: RefSeq, a predicted model, not a curated record
GCCAGAGCGCCGCCGCGCCGCGGUGCAGGCUGGGAAACCGCCGGGAGGACCCGCGGCCGCCCAGGCGCCGGAGCCCUGGGAACCGCCCGGGGUACCCGCCGACGGAGCCUCGGCGGCCUGCUGGGGCGAGUGGCGGCAGCGCGCGGGAACCUCGGCACUCGGCGGGGCCGGAGUCCGGGCAGCCGGCGGAAUGGAGGGAGCUGGGGCCUGAGGAACCGGCCGCCUGGGGCAGUCCCGCGGGUUCAGCUUGGCCUCUCACAGGCCACCUACCAACCCUUCCUGGUUCUGGCUGACAAGUAGAUCCCAGACAAGCCCCCACUUAGGAACAAGCUCUUCCUUCAUCUCCUAGAAGUCCUGGCUGGUAAGCCCUCUUUGUGAAUUAAGCAAUACACACAGUCCAGCAGGGUCCUCCCCUGGGUGCCUAUAUUUCUUUUUGUGCUCCAGGUAUCCAGCUGGUCGGGGCAUUAGCUCAUCAGGCUCUACAGGCCUGGGAGGCCUGGCAGGGGUGCUCCAAAAAAGCGAGGCUUAAACGCGGCAAAGCAGCGAAUAAUCGGCUUUAUUGAAGGCAAGUGACACACCCGCAACAGGGACUGCAAGCGUUGCUGUCACGGAGGCAGAGAGCCCAGCGCACCGGAGCAAUGCCUGGGACGGAGUCCAACGAAGGGGCGGAUAGCAAGCAUUAAUAUACACUUAACAUUAUCAGCUCAUGUAUAAUUACUGAGGGGUUGUGCUCCUUUACUGGCAAGGGGCCACACGAGGCAGUCAAGGCCGGUUGAGGACCGGUUUCGACCGGUUCCUCAUGUCCGACACUGACAGAUAGUAACCGUCUGCACGAGAAAGCGUUCUUCCCUAACUAGGCCGUCACAGAGUCUUCCGCAGUCCCUUACAAUUUCAUUAACCUAUUUCUGUGCAUUAUUCAACAAGGCAUUUAAAAGCAAGUUCUGACCUUGCAUAUGCUACUCCUGGGGGAAUUCUGCACCACUGAACGUGUGCAGAAUUCACAUCCCCCGAAGAUUUCUUUGCUUCCCUGCAGAAAAAUGACUUUCUGACUGGGAAGCAAAGGAAAGCAGCAAGAGUGGUCACGCACCCCUCCCCAGCAGAGCAGAUGCAUUGUUUCAGGCACCCAGAGCAGUUGGCAGAGAGGUAAAUCACAGCAGGGGCUGGGGAUGCCCUGGCUGGUGGUUCUUACCCUGCACCGGUCCCAGCUGCUAGUCCUAGCUGGACUGGGGAUGGGGAAGGAAGGGACUUCCUCUUCCCCUGCAAGGAGCAGCCGUGGCCAGGUCAGACACACCACCAGAAACCUUCCCUGGCUGUAGGAAGCUCUGCCCCCAUCACACACUUCCUGCCCCAUUGCUCGUCAGCUGCUGGGAGAGGGAUCACUAUAUGGGGAGCUGCUCCCCAUCCGCCACCCAUACAUCUGGACCCCCCCAUACCCAGACUCCACUGUUGAGCCUCACCUGCCCGCACCCAGAACCUCCCCAAUGAGCCUCCCCACACCCAAACCCCCACUCCACUGAGUCUCACCCCCUGCAUCCCCUCACUGGGCCCUCCACACAAACUCCCAUCCCACCAAGCCCCACUCCGCCAGCACCCAGACACCCCUGCUGAACCCCACACACCUGAUGCCCCACUGAGCACCAUCCCCUCAUACCCAGACCCCCCCUCCUGAGCCCCAACCAUCUUCACCUGGACCCCUCUGCAGAGUCCCAUUACCCCUGCACCCAGAACCUCCAAAUCCCCCUGCACCAAACUGCCUGCACACAGAUUGCCCCACACAGAACUGUCUCACCCCACACCAAGCCCCUCUAUGAACCUACCUGCCCCACACCUGGUGCGCCUGGUGUGGAGGGCAGGUCUGGGGCAGACCUGGCUUUUGUGCUGUGUCAGGGUCAGGUGCCGCUUCACUGCCACGUCUGUGUCCUGCGGGGGCUGCAGGGUGAUCUCCCACCUCUGUGCAGCCAAUGGCUUGUGCUCCCCACUGCCAUGCUGGAGCCUCCACAUUUGUUUACUGACAAAUAAAAUUUGCAGAAUUUUAAAAUAUUGUGUGCAGAAUUUUUUUGGGGUGCAGAAUUUUUAAUUUUUUGGUACAGAAUUCCCUCAGGAGUAAUAUGCAGAAGCAGUUCCCAAGACUUUAAAGGAAGCUCCAUGUGCAACAUCCAAAGGCAGAAUACGAUCAUAAUGUUUUUCCCAAAAAAGUGCAGAUUAAUGUAGCUUUUGCUCCUCACUUACAGUACAAGUAUAUUGGUAGAGAAGAUAGAACAGGGCAGGAUCAACAUCUGCAGAGAAAGCACUCAUAAAGAGUCUCUGGACUCAGACAACACAGAGGUAGGAUUGCUAUAACUAGAAUGCCCAGAGGGUUUGGGUAUGGAUUCAUUGUACUCUGUGAUCUGCAUUGACUUCCAUUUUGUUUUCAGGUCAGUGAAAAAAAUGUGUUACCUAAGGAUUACCUUUUAGGAUUGCCCUCUUGCUCAGUCCAGGAUAUUUGGAUUGCACCUCUCUUCCUGUAAAUACUGAUAGCAUCUCAGAUGCAUUCAGGAGGCUCUGAAGUUUGGUCACACACACCCCUGCUGCCCUCAUUCUGGAUGAAUAGUUCCAGCACUGUUUUGAAAGACUAAAUUCUUAUUAGGAUGUUACCAUAACACCUGUUAAAUCAUAUUCACUACCCAUAUGGACUCCGUAGAGAUGAUCAAAGAUGGACUUUAUACAUGCAGAGAAUUGUUUGGGGUGGCGCGAGGGGAAUCAGGGUGGUAAAAUAGGACUACCAGAAAGAAAAUAAUCAGGUAACAAAUGUUCCAUCCUGGACCAUGAUCUUUACCUGAACUGGGGACAUUUAGGACAUAGAGAACAGUAAGGAAAUAGUAGGGACUAGGAGAUAUGUAAGAUGGAAAGGAUUUCCUUAAAAAUUAAUAUAGUGAGACUUUUAAGGGACUUUAUGGAGAAUGUUCCUGAUGAAGGGUGCUUCUACAGAGGAAUGAAGGCUAAGCCUGGAGUGUUUUCUCAAUGAGUUAAUGGAUGACCAAGUGGAUUAGAAAUUUCUUCUGUAGCAGCAGAUUCUGUUUCUGCCCAGGAUGUCAUUGUGGCGCAUGUUGAAUGGGCUCUGAUUCCUUCUUGGACAAGUUUGUCACAGAUGUGUAAGCUGCAGCAAUACUUGUCCACUUGGCUCUGGAAGGUUUAGGAUUUUCAGGGCCAGGCAUGUAGGGUGAAAGGAAACAAAUAAAAGGUGAUGUUUUCCUGGACUGCUCUGCGCUACUAUGGUAAAUUUUAGCAACUCAGGCAAAUUAAAAGGAAGUAGUGAUCUCCUGUGAUAUAUAAUGAGAGUUCACUUUACUCGUGACUGCUUCUGCAGUAUGAGGAACCACUUGGGCUCCUUGGAAGGUGCAGUAAGACUUGUGCUUUCUAAAAGCAGAAAUUUCAGAGACUCCCACUCAUUCAGAAGGGAGAAUGUACAUCUUUGCCACAAACUUUUUUGUUAGAGUGAACUUGUCUUUGCUGUGCGUGGAACGGAGGGACUAACAGCAACAGAGCAGGCAGAAGUGAACAGAUGUUGUUGAAUGCAGUUUCCUGGCUUCUGCUAUUUUUUGCUGAUUUUUUUCCCCGUGUUCACACUAUGAUAAGUGGACUAAGAAUUAAAAUGCAACCAUGUGACAAUUUUCUCUUACAUGAACCAAAAUGCAUCUUUUGAUUCGGUAACUGUUGGUUAGUUACAGUCUCUGUGCCUUAAACUGAAUAUUACAUACUUUCUUAUGGCCAGCAAUGAAAUAGUGGUUGCGAAUGCAGUGGACACACCAUGUUUUCUUUCCUGCCCAAAGCCGGAAGGGACUUUCUCUGUAUGACAUGCAAACUGGUGGCUGUGCUGUAAGAAAAGAUUCGUGGUCUGGAAGGACAAUUACAGACACUGUGGAGCACCAGAAAGACUGAGGUGUUUUUGGAGAAUCAGAUCCAGGAAGCAUCACAAUUUCAAAGUCCAGAAAGGAACCGGUCUCCAAGGAACCAGAAAAAGUGGAAACUAGAGGAAACUUGGCUGUUCAUAGUCACCAGAGGCAAGAGGACCAGGUGGCAUUCUACAUAGCUGGAAGCAAAAGUGGAAGGGCAGGCUGUGACUACUAGAGAGAAGAGGACUAGGAAGAACAGCACAAAGCUAGAUGUAGCCACUCGUUAUGUUCUCAGGCUGGAAACUGCAGAAAACAUCUCUGAUGAUCAAGCUGGAUGAAUGGAAUGGAGAGUUGUAUGGGACAUACCUGCUAAUGGCUUCUCAAACCAACCUAAAAGAAAAGGGAAGUGUGUACACAAAGAGAGCUCCUACUGUCCAAGGAAGACUGAUGAUCCUUGUUGGCGGAUUCUGUACUAAGAAGAAUGGGAAGAACAUUCUGCAAGAGACAACAGGAUGGUGUGCUGUCUUCGUGGAGACAAGACACAGGAUGUCACUCCAAGAUCGGUUAGGGAUCUGAAGUCAAUAGGCCAGGCACCACUGGUGAUGGAUGCGUGUCAGCACUAAUGACAAUGCUUUGCAGGAUACCUCAGAGAACAGAGAUGACUUCAGGGAACUCUGAAGGUUGCCGAAGAAAAAGAACGUCCAAGUGAUCUUCUAACAGAGCUUUCCUGUCCCAUGAGUGAAGGAAGACAGAAGGCGGAAGAUUCUGGAAAUGAACAGCUGGGAUAUGUAAAGAAACCCAUUUGUCUGUCAAAACGUUUACUGUAAGUAAACAAGAUGAUCAUCGCAGCUCACUGAAUUAAUGGGGUGAAUCCUGUAACUGGUCUGUGAGCUAGUACAUCGAACACAUCACCAGCCACCGACAGUACCAGGAGGGGUGAGCCGGUACAACAUCGUGCAUCAACUAUGGGAAAGGGACUGAGAGAUUUUUUCCAUUGGACCAUAUGAACUGGAACCAUAAACUCACUGAACAUUAAAUCCCACCAAAUGAGGGUAGAUCCAUCUCCAUCGUCGUAUCCACUCAUUAUAUUCCACACCUGAACAUAGCCAUUAUAUGGACAACAUACCCCCAUAUCUCAGUGUCUGUACUUUGACCCGUUAAACUUUUACCUCCAACCGGGGAGAUUGCAGAUUAUGUAUUCCUUACGCCACUCGUUCCUAAACCGAAUUUCGCACCCUUUGAUAAUCUGUACCUUAUUCCCUGAUAACCAGAAACUUGUAUGCUUAAACUCUGUACCGUUUUCUUUUUACUUCAACAUUAUCUUAA